UAAAUACUCCCUAGUGACCGAUAGUGAACCAGUACCGUGAGGGAAAGGUGAAAAGCACCCCGGAAGGGGAGUGAAACAGUUCCUGAAACCGUGUGCCUACAAGUAGUUAGAGCCCGUUAAUGGGUGAUAGCGUGCCUUUUGUAGAAUGAACCGGCGAGUUACGAUUUGUUGCAAGGUUAAGCGGAAAAAGCGGAGCCGUAGCGAAAGCGAGUCUGAAUAGGGCGCAUAAGUAACAGGUCGUAGACCCGAAACCAGGUGAUCUACCCAUGUCCAGGAUGAAGGUAAGGUAAUACUUACUGGAGGUCCGAACCCACGCACGUUGAAAAGUGCGGGGAUGAGGUGUGGGUAGCGGAGAAAUUCCAAUCGAACUUGGAGAUAGCUGGUUCUCUCCGAAAU
RNAcentral lists this ribosomal RNA (396 nucleotides) under Listeria monocytogenes. Its description in RNAcentral is "partial 23S ribosomal RNA". It matches the Rfam family "Bacterial large subunit ribosomal RNA", at positions 467 to 865 of the family's 2925-position model. The record is from RNAcentral. Lineage: Bacteria; Bacillati; Bacillota; Bacilli; Caryophanales; Listeriaceae.